RNAcentral lists this ribosomal RNA (644 nucleotides) under Ruegeria atlantica. RNAcentral's name for it is "bacterial SSU rRNA". It matches the Rfam family "Bacterial small subunit ribosomal RNA", at positions 125 to 801 of the family's 1533-position model. RNAcentral also lists the same sequence under 1 other name. The record is from RNAcentral. Lineage: Bacteria; Pseudomonadati; Pseudomonadota; Alphaproteobacteria; Rhodobacterales; Roseobacteraceae.
UUNGCCGUUUGGUACGGCAAUAGCCUCUGGAAACGGAGAGUAAUACCGUAUGAGCCCUUCGGGGGAAAGAUUUAUCGCCAAAGGAUUGGCCCGCGUUAGAUUAGGUAGUUGGUGGGGUAACGGCCUACCAAGCCUACGAUCUAUANCUGGUUUUAGAGGAUGAUCAGCAACACUGGGACUGAGACACGGCCCAGACUCCUACGGGAGGCAGCAGUGGGGAAUCUUGGACAAUGGGGGCAACCCUGAUCCAGCCAUGCCGCGUGAGUGAUGAAGGCCUUAGGGUCGUAAAGCUCUUUCGCCUGUGAAGAUAAUGACGGUAGCAGGUAAAGAAACCCCGGCUAACUCCGUGCCAGCAGCCGCGGUAAUACGGAGGGGGUUAGCGUUGUUCGGAAUUACUGGGCGUAAAGCGCACGUAGGCGGACUGGAAAGUUGGGGGUGAAAUCCCAGGGCUCANCCCUGGAACUGCCUCCAGAACUAUCAGUCUAGAGUUCGANAGAGGUGAGUGGAAUUCCGAGUGUAGAGGUGAAAUUCGUANAUAUUCGGAAGAACACGNNUGGCGAANGCGGCUCACUGGCUCGAUACUGAAGCUGAGGUGCGAANGUGUGGGGGAGCAAACANGAUUAGAUACGCUGGUAGUCCACUCC